This 1302-nucleotide long non-coding RNA is filed under the name Zea mays. RNAcentral's name for it is "drought responsive lncRNA". Lineage: Eukaryota; Viridiplantae; Streptophyta; Magnoliopsida; Poales; Poaceae. The record is from RNAcentral.
CUUGGAUGGCUUGAAUGGUGGUGGUUGGGGGUAUUUAUAGCCCCAACCACUAUUCUAGUCGUUAGCUGAAUUCUCUGUUGAUGGGCACACCGGACAGUACGGUGGUGCACCGGACAAAGCACUAUUCAUUGUUCGGUGCGUGCCACGUCAGCCGAUCGUUGGGGUUUGGAGCUGUUGACCGUUGAAUACUUCUGUCCUUUUAGUGCACCGGACAGUCCGGUGCGACCUGUCGUCGCGGACUGUCUUCUAACUUCUGACGCUGCAGACUGCGGGCGCCGUCCCACAGUCGACCGUUGGUGGAGUCGACCAUUGCUCUGAGGGCUCACCGGACAGUCUGGUGGCACACCGGACAGUCCAAUGAUUUUUAGCGGACGAGCUCCGAGAAACCCCGAGAGCGGCCAGAUCGCGGAGUGCUCCAGCUAGGGCACCGGACAGUCCGGUGCACCACUGACUGCAGCAAGUCGGUUUGCUCCAAAUUUGUAGAAUUGCCCCAAAGUUAUUUUCUUUGUAUGUGUAUGUGAACUUUAUGCACCUAAGAAAAAUAACAACUAGGCAAACUAGUUAGUCCAUAAGGUUUGUGAUGGACGUCAAACACCAAAAUCGUUUAUAGAAAAUAUUUAGUUAAUUUCUCUUUCAAACUCCCCUAACUCCCGUGCCCCUUUCGGGUAAGGUAGACCUCCACUAUCUUUCCUAAUUAAUCAGCUAAGGGCGUCCCAUUCCACCCUUGUGGUAACACGGUUAUCUCAAGUUAAGCUUCAUGUUCCAAUUAACACAAUAGUCUUAUCAUGAACAGUAAAGAAUUCAAUAACAGUAAAGACAUGAUCAUGAAUGAUAUAUAUCUUAACACCCAAAACCACAUAGAGCAAUAACAGAUACUAUCCAAAAGUUCAGUGGUAAACAAGUCAUAAAGAUGACCAAACUAGAGUGACCUAUUGGGCCCCAUCAAAAUUAAACCUACACAUGCCAAAGUGAUUAUAAAGAAAAUUAUUGAGUGAAGGAAAUUGGUCAAGGGCACAACUUUCCUUCAAUGAGCUCCUACUCAGAGUUUUCCACCUCUGAGUACCAGGGUCCUCGGUCACUUGCUCGUCUAUUCGCAGCAAUACAAACAAACAUGGUAUAGGAGAAAUUAACAUCACACCAAACAGAAGAACAUAAUGCAUGAUAAUGAUCUAUGCAUCGCAUCGAGAUCCUAGGUUUAAGAAUCAGUAAUUCAGAGUUACGGUUAUAAAGUUAUGAUUUUCUAAAGGUUUUGGUGUUUAAUAUAAAACAAAUGAAGUACAUGAUUUUAACCAUAGGUUUCAU